AGUGAACGCUGGCGGUAGGCCUAACACAUGCAAGUCGAACGGCAGCACAGUAAGAGCUUGCUCUUACGGGUGGCGAGUGGCGGACGGGUGAGGAAUACAUCGGAAUCUACUUUUUCGUGGGGGAUAACGUAGGGAAACUUACGCUAAUACCGCAUACGACCUACGGGUGAAAGCAGGGGAUCUUCGGACCUUGCGCGAUUGAAUGAGCCGAUGUCGGAUUAGCUAGUUGGCGGGGUAAAGGCCCACCAAGGCGACGAUCCGUAGCUGGUCUGAGAGGAUGAUCAGCCACACUGGAACUGAGACACGGUCCAGACUCCUACGGGAGGCAGCAGUGGGGAAUAUUACAAUGGGCGCAAGCCUGAUCCAGCCAUACCGCGUGGGUGAAGAAGGCCUUCGGGUUGUAAAGCCCUUUUGUUGGGAAAGAAAAGCAGCAGGUUAAUACCCCGCUGUUCUGACGGUACCCAAAGAAUAAGCACCGGCUAACUUCGUG
This 490-nucleotide ribosomal RNA is filed under the name uncultured bacterium. RNAcentral's name for it is "partial 16S ribosomal RNA". It matches the Rfam family "Bacterial small subunit ribosomal RNA", at positions 29 to 507 of the family's 1533-position model. The record is from RNAcentral.